Molecule: long non-coding RNA, 1465 nt
Filed under: Manihot esculenta (cassava)
Lineage: Eukaryota; Viridiplantae; Streptophyta; Magnoliopsida; Malpighiales; Euphorbiaceae
Description: long non-coding RNA (MESC_LNC005055)
Source: RNAcentral
UGUAAAUGGAUAAUCAUCGCCCAACUGCUCCCUCGGUGCUCCAAUCCAGGCCUCCUCUGGAUCCUCCAGGAAACUAGAAUUGAAUCGCCGGAGGACUGCUCCUUCUUCCUAGUGAGCCCCUCUCUUCGGAUGGCCUCUGAUCUCAACUACGUUAACACCACCUCUAGUAGCAGUGUAAGGGAUUCGUUCGAUAUCUAAGGAGAAGUAUUUUUUUCUUCUUCUUCAUCUAUUCAUCUGCUUCCUUCUUCGUUGAAUUAUAUUUGUUUUUUUUAUUUUUCUCUCUAUUAUUAAAUUACUAAUUCUCCUAUCUGGGUUUCUUGAUUUUCCUUUUUUGAAAAUUUUUAGGUUUUUUCAUGAAUGAUUGCUUAUUACAAAUUUAAUUAUAAAAUUUUGUGAGUUCUUUUUUUCCGUUGGAUUGAAUAACAGAAAAAGAAAAACCUUUCUGUUUUGGGCUUGUGGUUACUGCUUUGGAUUUUGAUUGUAACACUUUGUUGGUGAAUAUUCAUUAAAGAAAACAAAAAUCAGAUCUUUUUUAGCCAUGGAUUUUGCUAAGUCAGAUCAAAGAUUUCCUUCUUUUUUUCAUGCUCUGUUUCAUCGCCCAAAAAAUACUGUCUAAUUCACCGAAAUGUUCGCCUCUGUUUUCUUUUCCUUGUUUCUGUUUUUGAGAAAACAAGAGACAAACAUGGGAGAAGAAAAUCAAAAUAGAAGCAGAAAUAGAAGCAGCAGUAGCUGUAAUAGCAUAGCAAUGGAGAGCCUCUCUUUGGAAAUAAACAAAUACCUAAAAGAUGAAGAAGAAAAAAAAAAAAGAACAGAUGAAGAAAGCGACGUGGGAGAAUGGAAAAAAGUUGAAUUAGAAAUGAAGGACUUGAGAUUUGUGAAUCUCGUGCAUAGACUUCAAGUCUUUAAUGAUGCGACAAAAUAAUUUAAUUUUUAAAUUUUUAUUUAUGGGUUUUGCUGCAAAAUUGUGUUGUAAUAUCGAAUUUCUCUGGUUGACAACCGUGGACCUUCAAUGCAUGGGAUGCUAGUGGAAUCGACAUGGCUGAUGAGUGAUGAACACUGAAUCCGAAUGGUAAGGGAAUACAGGGAAUGGUCAGGAAAUUUCAUUAAUCCGGGAGUUUAUGACAAGACGGAUCUCCUUCAGGCUUACCAGCUAUCUAUUAAUACGAGGAAAGAUGGUUCUAGAAGCCACAUGGACCUAUGAGAGCGAGCCCAAUGACACUAAAAUUAUACCAUCUGAUUAUGGUGAGAUGGUACACAGUAUAAUAUAAUAAAAUGGCACGUAAUAGCUUUUUCUCCAUGGAUUGCACGAGACGAGUCAAUAGGCCCCGCAUCAUUGACGUUAGUGGCUCUAAAAGCGAAUCCACGGUUACCCACGAAACCAAAACCUAAUUUUGAUAACUUAUAGCCAUCACUUUCAAUUUGGAGCUUCGUUUUUCUGUCAUGGGUACGUCUACCAGAAGAAGAG